UUGAGCAAAGUUGGCAGGCCUGACCGCGAGCCUGUUGAUUUUAUAGCUUUGUUUUUUGCUGCAUUUUCCCACGGCCUCAGUUUUUUAUUAAGCUGUUGUUUUCGUAAAAAGUUUUUGCGAAUUUCGCAUCAUAAAAUUAAAGUUUGGAAAUUUACAGUAUUUUUAAAGUAUAACAAUGAAAAAGAAAGAUGAUGCUGAAUGUCUGAUAAGUGUCGAUUCCAGUGAUGAUGAAGAAAACACGUUAUCAAAACAAAAGGAAUCGGAUAGUGAUAAAAUAAAAGUUGAUAAUUCUUUUGUUCCUUUGCGUAAGGCUCAGACUAUAGAGGAUGAUCAUGAGCCGCCGGCACUUACAAUGAGCGAUGUGGAACCAAGUUCAUCGGCGCAAAUUGUUCCUCAGACGCAGGGAAAUGGAAUAGGACAAGAUUCUAUAGCAGUGGGAGCUGAUGAUGUUCUAUCUGCUAAUGAUGUGGCUAUUAAUGAGCGAAGCACUGGCGGUGGCGCAACUGAACCGACUGCUACAAUACGUACUCGAGUAGCUACUAAUAACACCACCGCCCUGAGAGACGACGUCUAUGAGAGCUUGGAUUACGAUGUAUGCGAUAAUGUGCUAUUCAAAGAGGCUCAAAAGCGUACAGAUAAUGCGCGCUUCAGCAUUCGCAAAGACAUCUUACGUUGGAUAAUAUUUAUAAAAAUUGGAGUUGUAACCGCCCUAAUUGCUUGUGCUAUUGACAUACCCAUCGAAGAAUUGUCGGCUGUAAAAUACACGUUUCUCAAAAAUUCCGUCGAUAACAAUACUGCUGCAAACAUCAACCCUGAUGGAAAUCUUGUCAUUCCAUACAUCUAUUGGAUGGCUAUAAGUAUAAUACCAGUGGUUUUAGGAGCAGCACUUGUAACUUAUGUGGAGCCAAUCACUGCUGGUAGCGGAAUGCCUCAGGUAAAGAGCUAUCUGAACGGCGUAAAAAUUCCGCGAAUUGUACGCAUCAAAACUCUGUCUGUAAAAGCGGUUGGAGUGGUAACAGCCGUCGUUGGCGGUCUAGUGGGUGGAAAGGAAGGUCCAAUGGCACACGCAGGAGCAGUAGUGGCUGCGGGUAUUUCUCAAGGCAAAAGCACAACGUUUGUUAAGGACUUUCGCAUUUUCCGUGAUUUUCGGGAUGACCAUGAGAAACGUGAUUUUGUAUUGGGCGGCGCGGCGGCUGGUGUCGCUGCUGCUUUCGGGUCGCCAAUCGGAGGAAUGUUAUUCUCGCUGGAAGAAGCUGCUAGUUUUUGGAAUCAAAAUCUUAUUUGGCGUACGCUGGUUGCAUCCGUUAUAAGUUCAUUCACCCUAAACAUUGUACUAUCCGCCUACCACGGAUUAAAUAAUUUCACUUUUACUGGUCUCUUUAAUUUGGGAAAAUUCGAACAACCGCUAACUUUUGAAUAUUUCGAAUUGCCUAUAUUUAUGCUAUUCGGCGUAACGGGUGGCCUUAUGGGUGCCACGUGGAACUCGUAUAAUACACAUAUCAAUCGAUUUCGAAAACGUUUCAUUAAAUACAAAGUUGCGCGAAUCAUUGAAGCAGCUCUCGUCGCGUUGGUUGGUGUGACGUUGGCAUGCAUUAUGAUAUUUUUCAUAAAUGACUGUCGGCCACUAGGAAAUGAUCCCACUGACUAUCCAGUGCAAUUAUUCUGCGAGGACAAUGAAUAUAACGCUGUAGCGGCACUUUGGUUCCAAACACCAGAGGCGACGGUGCGUUCCUUGUUUCACGAUCCACCAGGCUCCCAUAAGAUCUUGACACUAACCGUGUUUACACUAGUAUAUUACUUUCUCUCCUGUGUUACUUUCGGUCUAAAUGUGUCGCUUGGUAUAUUUAUACCAACAGGUUUAGUUGGAGCUGCAUGGGGUCGUUUGGUUGCCAUGAUUAUAUUCUACAUUUUUCCUGAAGCUACCUUUCUAAGCCCCGGUAAGUACGCAUUAAUCGGCGCGGCCGCAAACUUGGGUGGCGUGCUGCGCAUGACCAUCAGCCUUUCGGUCAUACUUAUGGAAACAACGGGAAUCGAAACAUCAUUCUUUUUCCCCUUAAUUGUUACUUUAAUUAGUGCAAAGUGGGUAGGCGACUACUUUACAGAGGGCAUCUACGAUAUACAAAUUAAAAUGAGUGGUGUACCAGUAUUGCCAUGGGAACUUCCACCUAAAUAUGAGGGGCUUAAUGCAUCACAGUUAAUGAGUUCACCUGUAGUCUAUAUUAAAAAAUGUGACAGCGCCAAUUAUAUCUACAAAAUACUGCGACGUUGCAAGCACAAUGGCUUUCCAGUUGUAGAGGAUGUACAGGGCAAUAAUCGCGAAAAUGGACGUGUCUGUGGUAUAGUUUUGCGUUCGCAACUGAUUGUGAUUUUACUGAAUUCGUUGUAUGAGGAAAAGAAGCAAUUUUGGGAGAAAGCAAUUUCAAUAGAAACAUUUAGAAAUGUUUACCCACGCUAUCCGUCCAUCGAUAGCGUACGUAUGCGACCUGAAAAACAAAACUACACUGUCAAUCUGGAGAUAUUCAUGAAUCCCUCACCCGUGCGCGUUAGCGAAAAUGACUCGGCGUCUAAGAUAUUCAAGAAAUUUCGCGCACUUGGCUUGCGGCAUAUGAUUGUGAUUGAUAAAGAAAAUCGCGUUGUUGGUAUUAUUACGCGCAAGGAUUUUCUAUACAAAUAUUGAAUGCUUGCAAUAUAUGAGCCGUUUAUUUUGAAAGUGGCAUAAGUCACAUCGUACCCUUGUGCUUAAAUAACCGUAUUCUUGUAACCGAGUGCAUCUCUCAAUUCGCUCUAUCGUCAUAAACUAACGACAACACCUUCUACCUUUGGUUGAUGAAGUUGAACGAAUUGCCGUCGCAUUCAGACACAAGUAACCAGAGGUAAUUUAAGCAAAAGACUUGUGAAGUGACUUAUGCCACUUGCAAAAUAAACGGCUCAUAUACAUAAAUAUAUUUCUAAGUAUGCGCCUAGAAUGCUAAGAUUUUAUGAUUUUAAUCAUCACUUCGAAUGUUAAAUUAGUCGUGUUAUAUUUUUUUUUCUUUAAGUUUCAUAUUCAUAUAAUGAUACUAUAUGAAGUGUGAGGUAUUUUGAAUUUGUGUAAAGAAACCCAACAAACAUAUGUAUUAGGGGUCUUCAUCAAAAGUGAUAAACUGCUGAUAAACUUGAUAAAAUGAUAAAUUUCCAAUUUUGAUACAUGAAAUGUCAAACAUUGUAUGGGAAUCUAUUUAACCAAAAUUUAUCACUUUAUCAAACGUUUUUGGUGGAUAAAUGCAUAAAUUUCAGCAAAAAUCUACCCUGGCAGGUUGCCACAUUGUCCCUUUUGCUACGAACACAUAAAAAGCAAAUGAACACAAUGGAAGAGGUAAGAAUGAAACAGAACUAGCCGUAUAAGUUAAAUAAUAAACAAUUUUAUAUAAUUAUUUACCAAGCUGCGUUCAUAAAAGAAUGCGUGUAAACUGAUAAAUUUAAGCAAUCUAUCCAUGUAUCACUUUAGAAGAGGACCCCUAUUAGGUUAGAGAACAAUUAGAAAACGAUUCGAAUUCGAAUGUGUAUUUCUAAGGUAGAAGGCUAGAGGAUUUCAUUUCAUUCAUUUAUUUAAUAAAUGAAGUUAAAAUCUUAUGUAGUGUUUAAUGUACGCGUCUAAAGUAUGCCUUAUAUAACGAUAAGUAAUUCGUUCCAAUUUAAUAUUAUACAUACUUACUUACAUUACAA
Rhagoletis zephyria (snowberry fruit fly) is the source of this 3705-nucleotide RNA transcript. It is a transcript of the gene named chloride channel protein 7, with no coding region annotated. Lineage: Eukaryota; Metazoa; Arthropoda; Insecta; Diptera; Tephritidae. The record is from RefSeq and is a predicted model, not a curated record.